This 668-nucleotide ribosomal RNA is filed under the name Priestia flexa. RNAcentral describes it as "bacterial SSU rRNA". It matches the Rfam family "Bacterial small subunit ribosomal RNA", at positions 389 to 1047 of the family's 1533-position model. The record is from RNAcentral. Lineage: Bacteria; Bacillati; Bacillota; Bacilli; Caryophanales; Bacillaceae.
AAGCAACGCCGCGUGAGUGAUGAAGGCUUUCGGGUCGUAAAACUCUGUUGUUAGGGAAGAACAAGUACAAGAGUAACUGCUUGUACCUUGACGGUACCUAACCAGAAAGCCACGGCUAACUACGGGCCAGCAGCCGCGGUAAUACGUAGGUGGCAAGCGUUAUCCGGAAUUAUUGGGCGUAAAGCGCGCGCAGGCGGUUUCUUAAGUCUGAUGUGAAAGCCCACGGCUCAACCGUGGAGGGUCAUUGGAAACUGGGGAACUUGAGUGCAGAAGAGAAAAGCGGAAUUCCACGUGUAGCGGUGAAAUGCGUAGAGAUGUGGAGGAACACCAGUGGCGAAGGCGGCUUUUUGGUCUGUAACUGACGCUGAGGCGCGAAAGCGUGGGGAGCAAACAGGAUUAGAUACCCUGGUAGUCCACGCCGUAAACGAUGAGUGCUAAGUGUUAGAGGGUUUCCGCCCUUUAGUGCUGCAGCUAACGCAUUAAGCACUCCGCCUGGGGAGUACGGUCGCAAGACUGAACUCAAAGGAAUUGACGGGGGCCCGCACAAGCGGUGGAGCAUGUGGUUUAAUUCCAAGCACCCCGAAGAACCUUACCAGGUCUUGACAUCCUCUGACAACUCUAAAGAUAGAGCGUUCCCCUUCGGGGGACAAAAUGACAGGUGGUGCAUG